AUUGAACGCUGGCGGCAUGCUUUACACAUGCAAGUCGAACGGUAACAGGUCUUCGGAUGCUGACGAGUGGCGAACGGGUGAGUAAUGCAUCGGAACGUGCCCAGUCGUGGGGGAUAACGCAGCGAAAGCUGUGCUAAUACCGCAUACGAUCUAUGGAUGAAAGCGGGGGACCGUAAGGCCUCGCGCGAUUGGAGCGGCCGAUGUCAGAUUAGCUAGUUGGUGGGGUAAAGGCCCACCAAGGCGACGAUCUGUAGCUGGUCUGAGAGGACGACCAGCCACACUGGGACUGAGACACGGCCCAGACUCCUACGGGAGGCAGCAGUGGGGAAUUUUGGACAAUGGGCGCAAGCCUGAUCCAGCAAUGCCGCGUGAGGGACGACGGCCUUCGGUUGUAACCGUCUUUAGUAGGGUAAGAAGCGAAAGUAGACGGUACCGUA
RNAcentral lists this ribosomal RNA (437 nucleotides) under uncultured bacterium. RNAcentral's name for it is "bacterial SSU rRNA". It matches the Rfam family "Bacterial small subunit ribosomal RNA", at positions 30 to 482 of the family's 1533-position model. The record is from RNAcentral.